AUCGCUUCUCGGCCUUUUGGCUAAGAUCAAGUGUAGAUUUCCACAUCAAAACACUGAGGCAAGAAAUGUUUUUGGUUCACUGUUUCUCCUGUUUUUAAGCAAAUAGGUAAAAUUACACUCCGGAGAAUUGUGCCUUUUGGUACAGUGAUUGCACUGACCUGGCAGUCACCCACCCCGU
This 178-nucleotide small nuclear RNA is filed under the name Ochotona princeps (American pika). RNAcentral describes it as "U2 spliceosomal RNA (ENSOPRG00000023599.1)". It matches the Rfam family "U2 spliceosomal RNA". Rfam says of the family: U2 is a small nuclear RNA (snRNA) component of the spliceosome (involved in pre-mRNA splicing). Complementary binding between U2 snRNA (in an area lying towards the 5' end but 3' to hairpin I) and the branchpoint sequence (BPS) of the intron results the bulging out of an unpaired adenosine, on the BPS, which initiates a nucleophilic attack at the intronic 5' splice site, thus starting the first of two transesterification reactions that mediate splicing. Lineage: Eukaryota; Metazoa; Chordata; Mammalia; Lagomorpha; Ochotonidae. The record is from RNAcentral.